This 492-nucleotide ribosomal RNA is filed under the name uncultured bacterium. RNAcentral's name for it is "partial 16S ribosomal RNA". It matches the Rfam family "Bacterial small subunit ribosomal RNA", at positions 29 to 507 of the family's 1533-position model. The record is from RNAcentral.
AGUGAACGCUGGCGGUAGGCCUAACACAUGCAAGUCGAACGGCAGCACAGUAAGAGCUUGCUCUUACGGGUGGCGAGUGGCGGACGGGUGAGGAAUACAUCGGAAUCUACUUUUUCGUGGGGGAUAACGUAGGGAAACUUACGCUAAUACCGCAUACGACCUACGGGUGAAAGCAGGGAAUCUUCGGACCUUGCGCGAUUGAAUGAGCCGAUGUCGGAUUAGCUAGUUGGCGGGGUAAAGGCCCACCAAGGCGACGAUCCGUAGCUGGUCUGAGAGGAUGAUCAGCCACACUGGAACUGAGACACGGUCCAGACUCCUACGGGAGGCAGCAGUGGGGAAUAUUGGACAAUGGGCGCAAGCCUGAUCCAGCCAUACCGCGUGGGUGAAGAAGGCCUUCGGGUUGUAAAGCCCUUUUGCUGGGAAAGAAAAGCAGCAGGUUAAUACCCCGCUGUUCUGACGGUACCCAAAGAAUAAGCACCGGCUAACUUCGUG